AGCUCCAAUAGCGUAUAUUAAAGUUGUUGCAGUUAAAAGGCUCGUAGUCGAAUUUGUAGUACUUUAGCCUCGUCCCAUCCUUAGGGAUGUUUGUGACGAAGCUGGGAACUUUCUUGGUGGAGACAAUCUUCUGCCCUUCACUGGGUUGGUUGAUGGAUCUACCACAUUUACUGUGAGAAAAACAAGGUGCUCAAAGCAGGCUUUAUAGCUUGAAUGCGUUAGCAUGGAAUAAUAAGAUAGGACUUUGUUUCUAUUU
Molecule: ribosomal RNA, 256 nt
Filed under: uncultured Vampyrellida
Lineage: Eukaryota; Endomyxa; Vampyrellida
Description: partial small subunit ribosomal RNA
Rfam family: Eukaryotic small subunit ribosomal RNA
Source: RNAcentral